GCCGGGGUGGCGAAACUGGCAGACGCGCUCGCUUCAGGAGCGUGUCCCAGCAAUGGGGUGGAGGUUCAAGUCCUCUCUCCGGCA
Molecule: transfer RNA, 84 nt
Filed under: Candidatus Roizmanbacteria bacterium RIFCSPLOWO2_01_FULL_38_11
Lineage: Bacteria; Candidatus Roizmaniibacteriota
Description: tRNA-Leu
Rfam family: tRNA
About the family: Transfer RNA (tRNA) molecules are approximately 80 nucleotides in length. Their secondary structure includes four short double-helical elements and three loops (D, anti-codon, and T loops). Further hydrogen bonds mediate the characteristic L-shaped molecular structure. tRNAs have two regions of fundamental functional importance: the anti-codon, which is responsible for specific mRNA codon recognition, and the 3' end, to which the tRNAs corresponding amino acid is attached (by aminoacyl-tRNA synthetases). tRNAs cope with the degeneracy of the genetic code in two manners: having more than one tRNA (with a specific anti-codon) for a particular amino acid; and 'wobble' base-pairing, i.e. permitting non-standard base-pairing at the 3rd anti-codon position.
Source: RNAcentral